This 30-nucleotide non-coding RNA is filed under the name Cricetulus griseus (Chinese hamster). Lineage: Eukaryota; Metazoa; Chordata; Mammalia; Rodentia; Cricetidae. The record is from RNAcentral.
ACUUCUCGGUGCCUGGCAGCUGCAAGGGUC